AAAUCGAAAGGGCUCUGGUGGAUGGAGCUGACACCAACACCAAGUUGCUGUCUAGAGGGAUGAACGUUCAUGGACGACCAGAGGCAGCCAGCACUCCACGCACAGUUCUGUACGAGACGUGUAUCGAGCCCUUUUUAACAGUUCGGUUGUUGACGAACUCGACAUUUUUAUCGCAAGCCCAGGAAUCACACGCUUGAGGGUCUUGUCUUUGGAGAAUCGUUGGUAAGAGAAGAGGUUGAUUCAAGUUUUAGGAGGCUGUCUGUUUGCAUCAACGAAACCGGAGUCUAGUGGUGGUCCGUUAACGAGUCAAGAGGACCACGUAGUAGGUGUCGGUAGGGCAAUCUUAAACAGCGGAGGCAAUAGUGUGGUGUUCCGUGAGAUAUUUUGUGUGUUGUGUGAUAGGAUUGAUCUCAGACCUUUUCUUGGUGCAACCCAUCGGAUUUGGUGCGACCCCGGAUACUCUCUCUUGCCAACCCAAGACUUUCCUCCGGUGACCUAGGGCGGCUCCGUCCAAGGAAGCGAUCUUCGGACGGGGAUCUUGGAAAGGACGGUGGUUAGGCAUUUCCAUCAGCUACGAUGAAGACGAAGUUCAUCAACGACUCGAGUUUAACUAUCAAAUUGAUGGAAGGGAACGCGGGAGCGUUUCGCGGAAUUUGUGAGUUGUCUAAAACAGACUCUUAUAAAGUAGAAGUAAAUCCAAAUGCCACGUAUCGAGAGUACAUGGCGGCCACUGGAAGUAAAGGAGAAAGACUUAUAUUAUCGGAAGAAGAAGUUUAUAAACACAGCACUAUAAGAAUAGUAGAUGAUUAUUCAAAGCCGGAAAAGUUUAGAUUUCAGUUCGAGAACCCAAGAGUUGAAGGUGAAACCCAUGCACCGAGGCAAUUGCUAUUCAAGUGGUGGGAUAAAUUGAUUUCAAGAAUUAGAUCUGGAGAAGUAGGUUCUGACGAAGAUGGUGGAAGUGCCAAAAGUAGGGGAGGCCAGAACGUGGUUACCUCUCACCCAGAUGCAGAAUCGAGUCCGAAAGGUAGUGGAGGCUAGAAUUUGGGUAUCUCUCGCUUAGAUGCAGAAUCGAGUACGCUCGCCAGCUGAUGUUAGAAUCCAAUUACAUCAGUCUAUUCCGGUGCACAUUCCGUAAGCCCACCAGGCGGUGUCGGAACAAAUGCAGAUUCUGCGGAUUGCAGCGGGGCUGCUUUCUCCUGUGCAGCAGCAAGCACACCAGACGGUUAAAGUCGGCCGACUAUGUGCUUUCGGUGGAAGCAAGGGAUCGGACGAAUCGGGUCGGCCGUAGAGAAGUGAAAGAUUUUAUAUAUGUUAACUAUCCUCGGUUGUUAGGUACGUUUGAAGCAUCGAGAAAGGGAAAAGAUGGGAUUGUCUAUUAUGUCAGGGGUGAGGUGUGAAUGAACGUGUUACAUUCUACUCCAAAUUAUUGUUGUAAUUGUGAAGGCAAAGAAGAUUUAUAAAUAUACUAAUUUGUGCAAUUCUUUUCAAUUUA
Molecule: long non-coding RNA, 1492 nt
Organism: Physcomitrium patens
Lineage: Eukaryota; Viridiplantae; Streptophyta; Bryopsida; Funariales; Funariaceae
Source: RefSeq, a predicted model, not a curated record